Long non-coding RNA from Toxorhynchites rutilus septentrionalis, 1309 nucleotides. RefSeq lists it as uncharacterized. The record is from RefSeq and is a predicted model, not a curated record. The transcript is spliced from 3 exons. Lineage: Eukaryota; Metazoa; Arthropoda; Insecta; Diptera; Culicidae.
GGUACUCGACAGAAAACCAAAAAAAUAUACCCAUAUAUACAUUUCAUGGGCCCACACAUAUUUAUUGCAAUUCUUUUUAUGGAUGUUAUAUUUAGAUUUCUGUUAUGUUAUUUCAGGUUUUUUCGUUAUUUAGAUUUACGGCAUACUGUUGAAAAUGAGAAAUGAUUAUACUAUAUUAUUAUAUGACAAUUACCUUAUGAGAUUCAAACCGGGGUACUCAUGCAACAUGUGUGUUUCUCUGUUGUACCUUUGCUAUCUGGACCACUGAGCGGGUAUGGAAAAAAACAAGACAAACCUACCGCAAGUCAAUAAUAAUUGAAAGGGUAUACAUUUUCGGGAUUGUUUUACACGACGUUGGUUGUUAUUGUAUGCGUUUGACGUUUCCAAAAAAUUAUAACAAAAUACGUGCUCAGUCUGUUCUCCACUUGUUAUCGAUCUGUGCUUGUUGUUUUGAAUGAUUAAUAGAAAACAUGUCCGAAAACUAUAACAUCGUUGAGACGUCCGAACAUAAGGACAAAUUUUUAUCUGUGCUGCCUUCGUUGUGGAUAUUAAAAAAGGAUGGAGAUCCUAUGGACCGGACGAUUCAGAUGAUGACGAUAAUGGUAAUGAUCUGUACUAUUGGCCAAAAGGUGUUUCCGGCUACCGGCUGCUCGAAAAAUCUAAGAAAGGCCCCACUAUCAAACCGGAUCUAAAAGUGAUGUACGCUUAUCGGUGCAAGAUCAAAAGAACAAAAUUCUUGGGCUAUUUUGAUGUGUUCCGUGAGUUGAAGUUACGGAAAUGAAUUCCGGUACGGAAGAAUACAACACAAUGAUGAACAUGAGAGAAGCUGAUCUUUUCAAGCAAAUCCAACAAUCAAACCCAGGGCCAUGUCGAGAAUCUGCAGCUUCAAACCAAGGCAUCGAAAUAGCAGAAAGUCUGUCGUCUGAAUCAACAAAUAAAUCACAAAGCGAAAUUGAAUGCAACAGUUUAUCACAGUUGAAGAUGAGCGGAAGUGAUUUAAAUCGAUUCCUAGUAUUUGGCCAGCAUCCUUCGUUGAAUAUGUGGAAUUCUGAUGAUGAUUCUAAUUCCGGAAAAGCCAAUCAUCUAAUUUCGGAAAAGCCAAUCGAAGACAAUUUUCUAUAAAGCAAUUAAAUAUCACAUAUGGUUUUAUGUACUUUUAAGUAUAAAAUUUAGAUAAACCUUGAUGUCAAUAUUUUUCGUCUUCAAUAUAAGAAACAUUACAUUUUUUCCUAGGAGUGCGGAGCAACCAUCUCGGGCUUCCCGGAAGUGUUCGUUCAUAGAUAUUUUUGACGUAGAACUACGUCUUUCA